GAGUUUGAUCUUGGCUCAGAUUGAACGCUGGCGGCAGGCCUAACACAUGCAAGUCGAGCGGAUGACGGGAGCUUGCUCCUUGAUUCAGCGGCGGACGGGUGAGUAAUGCCUGGGAAUCUGCCUGGUAGUGGGGGACAACGUUUCGAAAGGAACGCUAAUACCGCAUACGUCCUACGGGAGAAAGCAGGGGACCUUCGGGCCUUGCGCUAUCAGAUGAGCCUAGGUCGGAUUAGCUAGUUGGUGGGGUAAUGGCUCACCAAGGCGACGAUCCGUAACUGGUCUGAGAGGAUGAUCAGUCACACUGGAACUGAGACACGGUCCAGACUCCUACGGGAGGCAGCAGUGGGGAAUAUUGGACAAUGGGCGAAAGCCUGAUCCAGCCAAUGCCGCGUGUGUGAAGAAGGUCUUCGGAUUGUAAAGCACUUUAAGUUGGGAGGAAGGGCAGUAAGUUAAUACCUUGCUGUUUUGACGUUACCGACAGAAUAAGCACCGGCUAACUCUGUGCCAGCAGCCG
Molecule: ribosomal RNA, 514 nt
Filed under: bacterium enrichment culture clone ALO1_GLFRUDD03HIIXZ
Lineage: Bacteria
Description: bacterial SSU rRNA
Rfam family: Bacterial small subunit ribosomal RNA
Source: RNAcentral